AAACCGAUCCCGAAAGAGUAUCCGGAUGGAUGCCGAAGCUCGAAAGAGAUAGGGGUCGGUUCCGCA
This 66-nucleotide non-coding RNA is filed under the name unclassified sequences. Its description in RNAcentral is "DUF3800-IX RNA". It matches the Rfam family "DUF3800-IX RNA". Rfam says of the family: Actinobacteria, Firmicutes (1 example), Nitrospirae, Proteobacteria, Verrucomicrobia (1 example). Nearby to DUF3800 The record is from RNAcentral.